CUAACACAUGCAAGUCGAACGGGUAACAGGAAGAAGCUUGCUUCUUUGCUGACGAGUGGCGGACGGGUGAGUAAUGUCUGGGAAACUGCCUGAUGGAGGGGGAUAACUACUGGAAACGGUAGCUAAUACCGCAUAACGUCGCAAGACCAAAGAGGGGGACCUUCGGGCCUCUUGCCAUCGGAUGUGCCCAGAUGGGAUUAGCUAGUAGGUGGGGUAACGGCUCACCUAGGCGACGAUCCCUAGCUGGUCUGAGAGGAUGACCAGCCACACUGGAACUGAGACACGGUCCAGACUCCUACGGGAGGCAGCAGUGGGGAAUAUUGCACAAUGGGCGCAAGCCUGAUGCAGCCAUGCCGCGUGUAUGAAGAAGGCCUUCGGGUUGUAAAGUACUUUCAGCGGGGAGGAAGGGAGUAAAGUUAAUACCUUUGCUCAUUGACGUUACCCGCAGAAGAAGCACCGGCUAACUCCGUGCCAGCAGCCGCGGUAAUACGGAGGGUGCAAGCGUUAAUCGGAAUUACUGGGCGUAAAGCGCACGCAGGCGGUUUGUUAAGUCAGAUGUGAAAUCCCCGGGCUCAACCUGGGAACUGCAUCUGAUACUGGCAAGCUUGAGUCUCGUAGAGGGGGGUAGAAUUCCAGGUGUAGCGGUGAAAUGCGUAGAGAUCUGGAGGAAUACCGGUGGCGAAGGCGG
Molecule: ribosomal RNA, 688 nt
Filed under: uncultured Pseudomonadota bacterium
Lineage: Bacteria; Pseudomonadati; Pseudomonadota
Description: bacterial SSU rRNA
Rfam family: Bacterial small subunit ribosomal RNA
Source: RNAcentral